Molecule: long non-coding RNA, 750 nt
Filed under: Homo sapiens (human)
Lineage: Eukaryota; Metazoa; Chordata; Mammalia; Primates; Hominidae
Description: long non-coding RNA NONHSAT254452
Source: RNAcentral
AAAUUUAUGAAAAAGUUUAAUUUUCAGAGCUUUUUGGAUGUAGGAAUGGUAGAUAAAGAGAUUAUGCUUAUGUGCUCACACACAUACAAACACUUGCACAUACACAACAAAUAACUAUACAUAAGCGGUGCAAGCUUGGCAGUUUUUCUUAAUAUCUGUUUGACCUGCAACAAAUCAUAUGAAUCUGGGCCAUUUUCACACACAUUAAAAAUAGGAGUAAAUGUGGAAUUAACCAAAGAUAAACUGUGACUAAAUGUUGCAAACACUCUUCGAAGCACUCUCCAUGAAUGAGCAUAGCCGGGAGGUUAGCAGACCUGAACGCCUUCACAGCUCUGCUGUUGACAUUCCAUGUGACCCCAGAAAAGUCACUUGGUUUCCCUGGUCCUCAGAUUUCUCUCCUGUAAAAUGAGGCCGUUGGAAGUGAUGGUCUCUAAGGCCCUUUUCAGUUCCACAAGCUGUGCUUAUAAAGUUUUUCAUUUUAUUCAUGUCUAUAGGUUUAAUUUUUAAAAACAAUACCCAAUAAUAAGGUUUCAAAUUAUCUCUUGGUCUAAUGUGCCUGUUUUUACACAGUGUCAAUCAUCCUUGAGUCACUGAAUCACAAGAGUUUUAGGCCAGUCAUUUCCUUCACCGUUUCUAAAUACUGUACCCUGUUUUACACACAAGCAACGUGAACAACGAAGCGUGAUGGUAAAAACAGGACGCUCCGGCUCCCUUCAGCUGGACUUUGCAAACCUCUUUGUGUUAUUUUAC